Molecule: ribosomal RNA, 495 nt
Filed under: uncultured bacterium
Lineage: Bacteria
Description: partial 16S ribosomal RNA
Rfam family: Bacterial small subunit ribosomal RNA
Source: RNAcentral
GAUGAACGCUGGCGGCGUGCCUAAUACAUGCAAGUCGAACGCUGAAGGAGGAGCUUGCUCUUCUGGAUGAGUUGCGAACGGGUGAGUAACGCGUAGGUAACCUGCCUGGUAGCGGGGGAUAACUAUUGGAAACGAUAGCUAAUACCGCAUGACAACAGUUAUUGCAUGAUAACUGUUUAAAAGGGGCAACUGCUCCACUACCAGAUGGCCCUGCGUUGUAUUAGCUAGUUGGUGAGGUAACGGCUCACCAAGGCGACGAUACAUAGCCGACCUGAGAGGGGGAUCGGCCACACUGGGACUGAGACACGGCCCAGACUCCUACGGGAGGCAGCAGUAGGGAAUCUUCGGCAAUGGACGGAAGUCUGACCGAGCAACGCCGCGGGAGUGAAGAAGGGUGUCGGAUCGUAAAGCUCGGUUGUAAGAGAAGAACGAGUGUGAGAGUGGAAAGUUCACACUGUGACGGUAGCUUACCAGAAAGGGACGGCUAACUACGUG